ACGCUCGACACCUACGGGAGUCAGCAGUAGGGAAUCUUCCACAAUGGACGCAAGUCUGAUGGAGCAACGCCGCGUGAGUGAAGAAGGUCUUCGGAUCGUAAAACUCUGUUGUUAGAGAAGAACACGAGUGAGAGUAACUGUUCAUUCGAUGACGGUAUCUAACCAGCAAGUCACGGCUAACUACGUGCUAGCAGCCGCGGUAAUCUGAGCGGGCUGGCAAGGC
This 223-nucleotide ribosomal RNA is filed under the name uncultured bacterium. RNAcentral's name for it is "partial 16S ribosomal RNA". It matches the Rfam family "Bacterial small subunit ribosomal RNA", at positions 328 to 539 of the family's 1533-position model. The record is from RNAcentral.